Molecule: transfer RNA, 85 nt
Filed under: Candidatus Zambryskibacteria bacterium RIFCSPHIGHO2_02_38_10.5
Lineage: Bacteria; Candidatus Zambryskiibacteriota
Also listed under: 5 other names
Description: tRNA-Leu
Rfam family: tRNA
About the family: Transfer RNA (tRNA) molecules are approximately 80 nucleotides in length. Their secondary structure includes four short double-helical elements and three loops (D, anti-codon, and T loops).
Source: RNAcentral
GCCGGAGUGUCGAAAUUGGUAACCGAACACGACUCAAAAUCGUGCGCCGCAAGGCUUGAGAGUUCGAGUCUCUCCUCCGGCACCA